Molecule: transfer RNA, 85 nt
Filed under: Felis catus (domestic cat)
Lineage: Eukaryota; Metazoa; Chordata; Mammalia; Carnivora; Felidae
Rfam family: tRNA
About the family: Transfer RNA (tRNA) molecules are approximately 80 nucleotides in length. Their secondary structure includes four short double-helical elements and three loops (D, anti-codon, and T loops).
Source: Rfam by way of RNAcentral
CCCUGGGUGGCUCAGUGGGUUGAGUGUCUGACUUUGGCUCAGGUCACGAUCUGACUGUUCAUGAGUUCGAGCCCCAAUUCAGGGU